Molecule: ribosomal RNA, 423 nt
Filed under: uncultured bacterium
Lineage: Bacteria
Description: bacterial SSU rRNA
Rfam family: Bacterial small subunit ribosomal RNA
Source: RNAcentral
GGCCAGCAGCCGCGGUAAUACGGAGGGUGCGAGCGUUGUUCGGAAUUAUUGGGCGUAAAGCGCGUGUAGGCGGUUUCUUAAGUCUGAUGUGAAAGCCCCGGGCCUAACCUGGGAAGUGCAUUGGAUACUGGGAGACUUGAGUACGGGAGAGGGUAGUGGAAUUCCUAGUGUAGGAGUGAAAUCCGUAGAUAUUAGGAGGAACACCGGUGGCGAAGGCGGCUGCCUGGACCGAUACUGACGCUGAGACGCGAAAGCGUGGGUAGCAAACAGGAUUAGAUACCCUGGUAGUCCACGCCGUAAACGAUGAGUACUAGGUGUUGCGGGUAUUGACCCCUGCAGUGCCGCAGCUAACGCAUUAAGUACUCCGCCUGGGAAGUACGGUCGCAAGACUAAAACUCAAAGGAAUUGACGGGGGCCCGCACA